Molecule: ribosomal RNA, 468 nt
Filed under: uncultured bacterium
Lineage: Bacteria
Description: partial 16S ribosomal RNA
Rfam family: Bacterial small subunit ribosomal RNA (bases 60-468)
Source: RNAcentral
GGGGGGGGGGGGGGGGGGGGGGGGGGGGGGGGGGGGGGGGGGGGGGGGGGGGGGGGGGGGGGGUGGGCGGGGGGGGGACGGGUGAGUGACACGGGAGGAAGCUGGCCUUGACGUGGGGGGGAGUGCAGGGGGCUGGGGCUGAUACCGGGUAGGAGCUCCUGCUGCAUGGUGGGGGUUGGAAAGUUUCGGCGGUUGGGGAUGGACUCGCGGCUUAUCAGCUUGUUGGUGGGGUAGUGGCUUACCAAGGCUUUGACGGGUAGCCGGCCUGAGAGGGUGACCGGCCACAUUGGGACUGAGAUACGGCCCAGACUCCUACGGGAGGCAGCAGUGGGGAAUAUUGCACAAUGGGCGGAAGCCUGAUGCAGCAACGCCGCGUGCGGGAUGACGGCCUUCGGGUUGUAAACCGCUUUCGCCUGUGACGAAGCGUGAGUGACGGUAAUGGGUAAAGAAGCACCGGCUAACUACGUG